Molecule: ribosomal RNA, 440 nt
Filed under: uncultured bacterium
Lineage: Bacteria
Description: partial 16S ribosomal RNA
Rfam family: Bacterial small subunit ribosomal RNA
Source: RNAcentral
CCUACGGGUGGCAGCAGUGGGGGAUAUUGCACAAUGGGGGAAACCCUGAUGCAGCGACGCCGCGUGGGUGAAGAAGCGCCUCGGCGCGUAAAGCCCUGUCAGCAGGGAAGAAAAUGACGGUACCUGAAGAAGAAGCCACGGCUAACUACGUGCCAGCCGCCGCGGUAAUACGUAGGGGGCAAGCGUUAUCCGGAUUUACUGGGUGUAAAGGGGGCGCAGACGGCGAUGCAAGCCAGGAGGGAAAGCCCGGGGCCAAACCCCGGGACUGCUCUUGGAACUGCGUGGCUAGAGUGCAGGAGGGGCAGGCGGAAUUCCUGGUGUAGCGGUGAAAUGCGUAGAUAUCAGGAGGAACCCCGGUGGCGAAGGCGGCCUGCUGGACUGCAACUGACGUUGAGGCCCGAAAGCGUGGGGAGCAAACAGGAUUAGAUACCCUAGUAGUC